Molecule: unclassified non-coding RNA, 117 nt
Organism: Macaca fascicularis (crab-eating macaque)
Lineage: Eukaryota; Metazoa; Chordata; Mammalia; Primates; Cercopithecidae
Rfam family: Metazoan signal recognition particle RNA
About the family: The signal recognition particle (SRP) is a universally conserved ribonucleoprotein. It is involved in the co-translational targeting of proteins to membranes.
Source: Ensembl
GCUGGGCGUGGUGGCUCACGCCUGUAAUCCUAGCACUUUGGGAGGCUGAGGCAGGUGGAUCACCUGAGGCCAGGAGUUCAAGACCAGCCUGACCAACAUGGUGAAACCCUGUCUCUA